AGAGAUGUCAACUUAUUGGCUUCACCUGACGCUAUGGAUUUUCCUAUUCUUUAAGAUGUUCGUGUCAAGCAAAGUUGCGACGCCGAUAAAGAGCAUUAACCGUUGUUCCCCUACGGAAAUAUACACAUGUCGAUUUUGUUUUGAGCCCUCUUGUAAGCAGGUGCUAUACGAUAGUGAACCAUGCCCCACAAAAUGUGAAAUGGUUUGCAACUGUUUGCCUGGUUAUGUGCGUAAGAAGAAAGAAUGCGUAAAAAAGGAAAAAUGUUGCGUUGGUCACAUAUGCAUUACCAAAAAGGAGGAGGAUAUGAAAACGAAAAUUUCAGCUAUAAAUUUUAUUCCGAAAAAGCCAUGAGUAUAAACUUUUUUUUAAACGAAAUAUAGCAGAUUUUUCAAAACUCGAA
Molecule: long non-coding RNA, 401 nt
Organism: Scaptodrosophila lebanonensis
Lineage: Eukaryota; Metazoa; Arthropoda; Insecta; Diptera; Drosophilidae
Exons: 2
Source: RefSeq, a predicted model, not a curated record